Molecule: ribosomal RNA, 396 nt
Filed under: uncultured bacterium
Lineage: Bacteria
Description: bacterial SSU rRNA
Rfam family: Bacterial small subunit ribosomal RNA
Source: RNAcentral
CCCGUAUAGUAGAGGAUAGCCCGGCGAAAGUCGGAUUAAUACUCUAUGUUUCCAAUGCAGACAUCUAAGUUGGAACAAAGGUUUACCGCUAGUAGGAUGGGGAUGCGUCUGAUUAGGUUGUUGGCGGGGUAACGGCCCACCAAGCCUACGAUCAGUAGGGGUUCUGAGAGGAAGGUCCCCCACAUUGGAACUGAGACACGGUCCAAACUCCUACGGGAGGCAGCAGUGAGGAAUAUUGGUCAAUGGGCGAGAGCCUGAACCAGCCAAAAGGUAGCGUGCAGGAUGACGGCCCUAGUGGGUUAGUAAACUGUCUUUUAGUACGGGGAUAAGUGAGGGACGUGUCCUUUUGUAGGUACCGUAUGAAUAAGGACCGGCUAAUUCCGUGCCAGCCGCUGC